AUGAGCACCAUCAGCACCAAAACUAUCGGCACCAACACUAUCAGCACCAUCAACACUAUCAGCACCAAAACUAUCGGCACCAAAACUAUCGGCACCAACACUAUCAGCACCAUCAGCACCACCACACUAUCAGCACCAUCAACACUAUCAGCACCAUCACCACCAAAACUAUCAGCACCAUCAACACUAUCAGCACCAUCAGCACCAUCAACACUAUCAGCACCAUCAACACCACCAACACUAUCAGCACCAUCAACACUAUCAGCACCAUCACACCAGCAGCACCAUCAGCACCACCAACACUAUCAGCACCAUCAGCACUAUCAGCACCAUCAGCACCACCAGCACCAUCAGCACCACCAACACUAUCAGCACCAUCACCACCAAAACUAUCAGCACCAUCAGCACUAUCAGCACCACCAACACCAGCAGCACCAUCAGCACCACCAACACUAUCAGCACCAUCAACACUAUCAGCACCAUCAACACUAUCAGCACCAUCAGCACUAUCAGCACCACCAACACCAGCAGCACCAUCAGCACCACCAACACUAUCAGCACCAUCAACACUAUCAGCACCAUCAACACUAUCAGCACCAUCAGCACCACCAACACUAUCAGCACCACCAACACUAUCAGCACCAUCAACACUAUCAGCACCAUCAGCACUAUCAGCACCAUCAGCACUAUCAGCACCACCAACACUAUCAGCACCAUCAACACUAUCAGCACCAACACUAUCAGCACCAUCAGCACCACCAACACUAUCAGCACCAUCAGCACCAACACCAGCAGCACCAUCAGCACCACCAACACUAUCAGCACCACCAACACUAUCAGCACCAUCAGCACUAUCAGCACCAUCAACACUAUCAGCACCACCAACACUAUCAGCACCAUCAACACUAUCAGCACCAACACUAUCAGCACCAUCAGCACCACCAACACUAUCAGCACCAUCAGCACCAACACCAGCAGCACCAUCAGCACCACCAACACUAUCAGCACCACCAACACUAUCAGCACCAUCAACACUAUCAGCACCAACACUAUCAGCACCAUCAGCACCACCAACACUAUCAGCACCAUCAACACUAUCAGCACCAUCAGCACCAACACCAGCAGCACCACCAGUACAGUGUCAGACUGCUGGUGUCUCAGGUAAACAUUGAUUAUUAA
RNAcentral lists this long non-coding RNA (1179 nucleotides) under Sparus aurata (gilthead seabream). RNAcentral describes it as "lncRNA (ENSSAUG00010017970.1)". Lineage: Eukaryota; Metazoa; Chordata; Actinopteri; Spariformes; Sparidae. The record is from RNAcentral.